RNAcentral lists this ribosomal RNA (330 nucleotides) under uncultured Chloroflexota bacterium. Its description in RNAcentral is "bacterial SSU rRNA". It matches the Rfam family "Bacterial small subunit ribosomal RNA", at positions 28 to 351 of the family's 1533-position model. The record is from RNAcentral. Lineage: Bacteria; Bacillati; Chloroflexota.
GAUGAACGCUGGCGGCGUGCCUAAUACAUGCAAGUCGAACGAGGUGCUCUUGUAGCAAUACGGGAGUAUCCUAGUGGCGAACGGGUGAGUAACGCGUUGGUGACCUGCCCCAAAGUGUGGGAUAACAGUCCGAAAGGAUUGCUAAUACCGCAUGUGGUCAUCGGGUUUAGAAACCGGUGACUAAAGCAGUAAUGCGCUUUGGGAGGGACCUGCGUCCCAUCAGCUAGUUGGUGAGGUAACGGCUCACCAAGGCGUCGACGGGUAAGGGACCUGAGAGGGUGGUCCCUCACAAUGGCACUGAAACACGGGCCAUACACCUACGGGAGGCAG